UAUUUCACGGCCGCGGUACCCUAACCGUGCAAAGGUAGCACAAUCACUUGUUCUUUAAAUAAGGACUAGUAUGAACGGCACCACGAAGACCAUGCUGUCUCCUUUCUCUAAUCAGUGAAACUGAUCUCCCCGUGAAGAAGCGGGGAUUAUUAUAUAAGACGAGAAGACCCUAUGAAGCUUAAAAUUUACAUCAACUGCCACCCACACACCACCUCAACCUGACAGACCUGAUUAUUAAUUUUUGGUUGGGGUGACCGCGGAGCAAAAUUAAACCUCCACAAUGAAAGGACUAAACCUCCUUAUUCAAGAAUUACACCUCUAAAAAUCAAUAUAUUGACAUAAAUUGAUCCAAACCUUUGAUCAAUGAACCAAGUUACUCUAGGGAUAACAGCGCAAUCCAUUUCAAGAGCCCCUAUCGACAAAUGGGUUUACGACCUCGAUGUUGGAUCAGGGUAUCCUAGUGGUGCAACCGCUACUAAAGGUUCGUUUGUUCAACGAUUAAAACCCUACGUGAUCUGAUUUCAAACCGGA
Molecule: ribosomal RNA, 531 nt
Filed under: Arthroleptis xenodactyloides (Chirinda screeching frog)
Lineage: Eukaryota; Metazoa; Chordata; Amphibia; Anura; Arthroleptidae
Description: partial large subunit ribosomal RNA
Rfam family: Bacterial large subunit ribosomal RNA
Source: RNAcentral